Molecule: ribosomal RNA, 447 nt
Filed under: uncultured bacterium
Lineage: Bacteria
Description: bacterial SSU rRNA
Rfam family: Bacterial small subunit ribosomal RNA
Source: RNAcentral
UGGGGAAUCUUGGACAAUGGGCGCAAGCCUGAUCCAGCCAUGCCGCGUGGAUGAUGAAGGCCUUAGGGUUGUAAAAUCCUUUCGUUGGGGACGAUAAUGACGGUACCCAAAGAAGAAGCUCCGGCUAACUUCGUGCCAGCAGCCGCGGUAAUACGAAGGGGGCUAGCGUUGUUCGGAAUUACUGGGCGUAAAGCGUACGUAGGCGGUGACUCAAGUCAGAGGUGAAAGCCUGGAGCUCAACUCCAGAACUGCCUUUGAAACUAGGUCGCUAGAAUCACGGAGAGGUGAGUGGAAUUCCGAGUGUAGAGGUGAAAUUCGUAGAUAUUAGGAAGAACACCAGUGGCGAAGGCGGCCAACUGGCUCGAUACUGACGCUGAGGUGCGAAAGCGUGGGGAGCAAACAGGAUUAGAUACCCUCGUAGUCCCUGAGCGGGCUGGCAAGGCGCAU